AUUGAACGCUGGCGGCAUGCCUUACACAUGCAAGUCGAACGGCAGCGGGGGAGAAGCUUGCUUCUCCUGCCGGCGAGUGGCGAACGGGUGAGUAAUACAUCGGAACGUGCCCUGUAGUGGGGGAUAACUAGUCGAAAGAUUAGCUAAUACCGCAUACGACCCGAGGGUGAAAGUGGGGGACCGCAAGGCCUCAUGCUAUAGGAGCUGCCGAUGUCUGAUUAGCUAGUUGGUGGGGUAAAGGCCUACCAAGGCGACGAUCAGUAGCUGGUCUGAGAGGACGAUCAGCCACACUGGGACUGAGACACGGCCCAGACUCCUACGGGAGGCAGCAGUGGGGAAUUUUGGACAAUGGGCGAAAGCCUGAUCCAGCAAUGCCGCGUGUGUGAAGAAGGCCUUCGGGUUGUAAAGCACUUUUGUCCGGAAAGAAAUGGCUCUGGUUAAUACCUGGGGUCGAUGACGGUACCGGAAGAAUAAGGACCGGCUAACUACGUGCCAGCCGCCGCAGUAA
Molecule: ribosomal RNA, 508 nt
Filed under: uncultured bacterium
Lineage: Bacteria
Description: partial 16S ribosomal RNA
Rfam family: Bacterial small subunit ribosomal RNA
Source: RNAcentral